RNAcentral lists this ribosomal RNA (301 nucleotides) under uncultured bacterium. RNAcentral's name for it is "partial 16S ribosomal RNA". It matches the Rfam family "Bacterial small subunit ribosomal RNA", at positions 509 to 807 of the family's 1533-position model. The record is from RNAcentral.
CAGCAGCCACGGUAAUACGAGGGGGGCAAGCGUUGUUCGGAAUUAUUGGGCGUAAAGGGUGCGUAGGCGGUUUGGCAAGUCUAGUGUGAAAUCUUCGGGCUCAACUCGAAGUCUGCACUGGAAACUGCCGGGCUUGAGUAUGGGAGAGGUGAGUGGAAUUCCCAGUGUAGAGGUGAAAUUCGUAGAUAUUGGGAAGAACACCGGUGGCGAAGGCGGCUCACUGGACCGACACUGACGCUGAGGCGCGAAAGCGUGGGGAGCAAACAGGAUUAGAUACCCCGGUAGUCCCUGUCUCUUAUAC